RNAcentral lists this long non-coding RNA (1309 nucleotides) under Sus scrofa (pig). Its description in RNAcentral is "lncRNA (ENSSSCG00025019484.1)". Lineage: Eukaryota; Metazoa; Chordata; Mammalia; Artiodactyla; Suidae. The record is from RNAcentral.
AUGUGCUACGGAAACAAAAGUGCGGUUGUGCGGAAGUGGAAACGAGAGGGGAUGGGGUGGAGCGGAGAGAAGGCGAGCUGGAACCCGGGGCUGACUUGCGUCAGGGGACCUUGGUCAGGUGAUAUUCUCCUACGAAAGAAAGACUCCCACUGGCCUUCUCCCGUGGCUUUACCAACCACACUGGCAUAUCCUCUGUCAUACCUGCCACUGAGCCGUAUCUUAAACAAUAUGGCACGGAUGUAAGCGCCUUUCUGACUGCGAAGAAGAACAGGAUACAAGAACAGAAUUCAGCCAACCUCACUCUUGGCACAGGCAGCAGUGAGGAGCACGCUCAGACACUGCAGAAUGGGUCCUACUGCCAGUUCCUGCACAGAUACAGCAGCUACCAGCCUACCACACAAGCAUCCAGGCAUGGCCAUAACUGCGCUUAGCACGGAGAGAGCUGAUAUCCCUGGUGGUGGAUACGCAGCAGAUUUGGAGGCUCCAAGUGGAGAACGCUGCCUUCCUCUAUGGCACGUAUCAUCUUCAUAGAUUCAGCUCACCUCUCCAACCUGGUGAGUACUUUUGGAUAAUCAUUUAAUCAUCUAAUGUGCAGAGUUACAUCUGUCCUUUCCUUUGUUUAUACAUUAUUUUCUCCUUUAUUCAGAAGGUAUUUGCUUAACUAAGGUAUUUACAUGGUAGCAAUUAAUGAGCAGCUAAUGAGGCACAAAAAGCCAUGAAACUCCUUUCACCAGCAGUUAAUAAUUCAAUCCAAUAUUUUUUGUUUACUCAGACUCAAGGAUGUCCUUCAUUAAGAUCUGUUAUCAUUUCCUGCCUUGAUGAUUCAGUGUCUAUAGUGUCACCAGCCUAUUAUCAGCACAGGAGUGAAAAGAACACUGGAUUUUGAGUCAAAUCGAAAAUAUUAGUCCCAUUUCUAUUAUUUUUAGUUUGAGCAUUUUAACAAGUUAAUUAAGUUCUCUUCACUCAUAAACAGAGUAAAUAAUACUUUCCUUGAUUAUUUCAUAAAGUUAACCUGUCAAACGUGGGCAUGGAUUUGAAGGUUAUUUUCUGUAUAUAUGUCAUGUGUUUGCUAUAUAGAAAGACAGUCACAAUAUACUGUUAGCAGAAAAAGGUAAAAAAACAAUAUUACCUUAUUAUCUUAAUUUUUCUGGAAAAAAAAAACACCUAGCUAAUAAUGGCCAUCUCUAUGUGACAGAAUUAUGAACGAUAUUUAUUUUGCUCUUUUUUGCUUAUAUGUAGUUUCUAUGUUUUCUAUAAGUCCUACUUGUAUAAUAAUAAAAGUUCAAAUUUUAAAAUAAUUUUGUUGUUG